This 858-nucleotide ribosomal RNA is filed under the name Triticum aestivum (bread wheat). RNAcentral describes it as "partial small subunit ribosomal RNA". Lineage: Eukaryota; Viridiplantae; Streptophyta; Magnoliopsida; Poales; Poaceae. The record is from RNAcentral.
AUGUCGCUCAGCCACGCGGCCGCCGACUGGACGACGUUCUGGGACCUCUUCAACACAUGGUCGGAGAUCAACCGAAACAAGAGUGAGAUAUCCACAGCGGCGCCAGUUGAGAGGUGGUUCCAGGAUGGCUGCCCCGUGCCGAUCCCUCUGCCGUUCGCCAAGGUGCAGGACAUGGCCAGGCCGUUGGAGUGCCCGCCGGUGCAGGAAUGCUCCAUCCAUUUCUCCCCGGAGAGCAUAAAGAAGCUGAAGGCGAAGGCGAACGCCGAGAUGGCCGGCACGGCCACGGCCCCCAUCUCCUCGCUGCAGGCCCUGCUCGCGCACCUAUGGCGAGCGGUGUGCCGCGCCCGGGGGCUGGCGCCGGACGCGGAGGCGAAGCUCACGCUCCCCGUCGGAUGCCGGACGCGGGUGAAGGGUAUUCCGCAGGCCUACAUGGGCAACGCCUUGACAAGUGGAGUUGCCAGGCGCCCCGUCGGCGAGAUCCUGGGCGACGGCCGGCUGGUCCGGACGGCGUGGCUUGUGAACCGUGCCGUGGCCUCGGUCGACGAGGCGAGCGUGAGGGCCGAGCUCGCGGCUUGGCCUCAGAACCCCAGCUUCAGCCGCGUGGGCGUGGGUGACCGCGACGGGGAUCCUGCGGCGGUGAUGAUGAGCGGCUCGCCGCGGUUCGACGUGUAUGGCAACGACUUUGGCUGGGGCAGGCCGGUGGGCGUCCGGACCGGGCCGGGGGACAAGGAGGACGGGCUGAUCACGGUUUUCGAGGACGGCGGAGGGGCCGGGGGCAUGGAGCUGGAGGUGUGCCUCGCCCCCGAUGUGCUCGCCAGGCUCGUCGCCGACCAAGAGCUGAUGAAGCCGUCGGUCUAG